This 253-nucleotide ribosomal RNA is filed under the name uncultured bacterium. RNAcentral describes it as "partial 16S ribosomal RNA". It matches the Rfam family "Bacterial small subunit ribosomal RNA", at positions 524 to 776 of the family's 1533-position model. The record is from RNAcentral.
UACGUAGGUGGCAAGCGUUGUCCGGAAUUACUGGGCGUAAAGGGCUCGUAGGUGGCCAACUAAGUCAGACGUGAAAUCCCUCGGCUUAACCGGGGAACUGCGUCUGAUACUGGAUGGCUUGAGUUUGGGAGAGGGACGCGGAAUUCCAGGUGUAGCGGUGAAAUGCGUAGAUAUCUGGAGGAACACCGGUGGCGAAGGCGGCGUCCUGGACCAACACUGACACUGAGGAGCGAAAGCCAGGGGAGCAAACGGG